GUCAGGACGCAUCGUCAAGGCUUCCUCUCUUCAUCAGAGUCUACAACCCUUUUGAUGUACGACCGGAGCUCGACAAACGCCAUCACACAAACGCCUCCCCACAAGGUGGUCUGCGCUCAUUGUACACUAGACAGACGUUGCCUGGGACAGGAGGGAUGGGUGGUAUAGCAAAUGUAGGAAGGAAAAGGGAGGAGAGUUGAGUGUACCGGAAUGGGUUUAAUGCCUUGACGGGCACAGCCCAACCACCGAUUGCAUACGCCUCUCCCUAGCCUUCAUUCUCAUGUCUACCUCUUUUUCUCUCUGUUGCAUCCUCCAUGGAUGUAUGAUAGAUCGAGCAAUUUCUACUCACACAUAGCUAUAUGAAAUAUAAAAAGAGAAAAUUUAAAAAAAAUUGUUU
Daphnia magna is the source of this 397-nucleotide long non-coding RNA. RefSeq lists it as uncharacterized. The record is from RefSeq and is a predicted model, not a curated record. The transcript is spliced from 2 exons. Lineage: Eukaryota; Metazoa; Arthropoda; Branchiopoda; Diplostraca; Daphniidae.